UGUCAGAGAAAUAGACAAAUCCCACCGUAUAGCAACAAAAACGGAUAUAUUGUUGUCUCCCAGGUUGGUUCAAGUUCGCUUGGUCUUACACAACGUCCUGCAGCAAGGCCAUCCGCCAGGGACCGGGGGUAAUCGGCCAUUCCUGCAACUCGCCAGCCCCAACGGCCCCCCCCUUCAUUUGGAUUUGGCCACAACCGCUCCAUCGCUCACACGCAGCCUCCACCCAAGAAAUCUAUUGGGGUGGAUGAGCACCUGAUUCCUGCCGUCACAGUCCAAAAGAGCACAAUCCCUGUGAUGAAUGGCGGAAGGAAAGAGAAGUACACCGUUCACAAGCCUCUCCUUUUCAUACGCUGGCUGCUCUGCUGCGUCACUUUGCCGUCGCCUGUGAAUGUCCAGUUUGCUGCGCUGUGCCUGUGCCUUAAAAUUUCCAUCUUUUUCCGUCUCAGGCCACUGCAUGCAAUGACGGGGAUUACAGUUGCCGUUAGCUUGCAUGUCUCUGACUAAGGUAGCUGUACAGAAGCAAAUCUGUUUGUUAGUCAACAACACAGGGUGGAAGCGCGUAUCCUGUACACAAAGCAGAAUUACCACACAGGGCAACUUGAAGCCAAACGUGAAGCACAUCCAAUUAGAGGACAGGUAAGUGACAUUCCUAUUGGACAAUCCUUACAUUUUUUGCUAAAGUUAUCUGGCUAAAGGAAAAAAAACCUUGCAUUGUGGAAUAACCCCCCACCCCCUGUAUUUGAGAAGCUGUGACAUGAAGGUGACUAGCCCAUCGUGUUAGCAGUGGCAGUACACCCUAUGUUUUUGAGAAUAAAUAAUGAGACAAGUACAUUUAAAAUAACACAUUGCUACAGUUUUAUUGUCAUUUAAAAACACAUUUUGCACAUCUUCGUAACAAAAACAAAAUCACUAUUGUAAUAUUAUAUAAUGCAUUUUCUUUACCGCCUCUGAUGGACGUGAUGCUGAGUUCACACAGUCCUCAUAAGCCCCCACCCCCCCCUUUCAAAAGCAGCAGUGCAUGCCUGUGAUCAUGGAACAUCCGGUCGGACUUUCAACUCACUCGACAGCAGAGAAAAUCUGUUUUUUUUUUGUUUUCUUUUACUGAUAUUUAUAGUGGAUGUACAAUUAUAAAAGCCAUCAUGGAUUAUUAGAGACACACUCAGUCCUUUCUGAUGCAAUUCACUGAUAUUACAUAAUGUUUGUGAUGUUUGUGGUAGGUAAGGGUGCUGCUAAGGCAGAUGGGGGGGGGGGGGGGGUUAAGGAUAAUUCCAAGGCUAAAAAAAUUGUAACAUGAUUUGAUUGGUCUGGGUUGGAGGUCCAAUAUUUCCAGUAGCUCCCUUGCCAGUAGCUCACUAAUAAGUAGACAUGAGAAAUACAUAACAGGUACAGGUAACCGAUUGUGGAUGGAUGGAAUCUUUGGCACAAUUACACUGAUUUUCCAAAAAUGACUGUUUUAUGCCGCUUUUCAAUGUACCAAUACAGACUUGUCUUGUGAAAACAAUAUCAAGUUUAUACUCUAUUGAAAAUAAAUCUAUCCGUGAUAGUGUUGAAAAUCUGACAUCCAGAAUACUGAUCCAUGUUUUGCAUGUUUAUAGUCAAUAAUUGUCAACUACACUUAGUAUAAUGAAAUUUAGAACAAUUUCCAAAUGUGUAAUAAAAUCUGGUUGAAGACUGUUAAUUGGCUUUCGUCUUAGUCACUGCUUAAAAAAAUCAACCACAUUGAUCAAAACGUCUGGUUAAAUAGCAAAAAUGCUUAUAACCCAGCCUGAGAUAUUGUAAAUGUGAGUCAAAUCAUGUAUGAAAUAUAUUUUUCCUAAUAUGUAAAUGCAUUGUCAUGAAUGUUGCAAUAUUUCUUUUUCAACAACAUUAAAA
Molecule: long non-coding RNA, 1872 nt
Organism: Brienomyrus brachyistius
Lineage: Eukaryota; Metazoa; Chordata; Actinopteri; Osteoglossiformes; Mormyridae
Exons: 3
Source: RefSeq, a predicted model, not a curated record